GACUCUGUACCUGAAAGGGACUUUUCUUUGUUCCCAAUGCCCUUUCCCAUCUGCCCAAUCAAAGACCAGCUUUUAUGAAACCGGGCUCUCUGAUUGGCUAGCUGCUCCUCUCGGCUUCCGAAGGGGGUGAAAGGGAGAAACACACACGCAUACAUACAUAGAAGCCUUGUAUUUUGCAAUCCUCAAACUACAUUUAGUGCUACAGCAGGCAGCCUCCUGCUGCAGCAAGAUACAAAUCAUGUUUCCCAUUUCAAUUACAGCAUUAUCCUAUAUAACAUUUUAUGUCAAGACAACCAAAUAGGGAGGCGAGCAGCCCAGCCAAGCCUCACACAGUGGGAGGAGAAUUUCCUCAUUUUCUUUUUAAUUUAAUUUCAAGGCAGUUUUCAAAGCAAUGAUGGAUGAUUUUUCUGUUUCAAAGAGGCAAAUUAAAAUCUCACUCCGUUUUUAUAUGCCCCCUCAUUCAAAAUUGUAACAUUUUGACACGAAACCGAGAGAGAGAGGCUGUUACGUGAGUGCGAUCAUUUUCAUGUUUAGCGAAGGAGAAAAGCAAACAAUGUCUUAAGAAGGGGAGGCUCAGCAAAGAACAGAACUGGAUUCCAUUCCUCCCCCUCACCCAUCCCUGCGUUAGAGGGACACUCAAGCUAUACUGAAAUUUGUUGGGAGUAAAGAGUACACAUCACGCCAUAUGUUGUUUGGGUAGCAAUACUUAAAACUGCAUGGAAGGAACGAGGUAUGCUCCCCUGCCCUUUCUUUUAAAACAUAUCGCCUUUUGGUGCCAAUAGAGACGGGUCUAAUUUGCGCAGAUAAGCUUUUUAAGAAGAUGAAUUGGUACAAUCAGAGAAUAUUUAACAAGCAACAGAAAGUUGUGUUGCCUAUCUUCUCAGCAAAGCUCCUCUUUUUCUUUCCUUUAAAGGCUGAAGUGAGCCUGGAGUCCGGCAGCCAAUCAUCAUUAUGGAAAUAUGCUUUUAAGCCUUCUCAUUGGCUGAUACUCAGGCCAGUGUAUUCAGUUAGCAGCAAUACAGCCGAGUCUGCACACCGACCUCAGCCUGGUUUAUGCCUUUUGUGGAGGAGCGAGUCAGGUAUGGAAGGCAACUUCUGCAGGUGGAUCUGCUGCCUUCCAUAUGGAAGAGAGAUUCAGCUGCCUCAACAGCACCACUUCUGGAGUUGCAUUAAGGAAGUGAGAGGGAUGUAGCCAGGAGAAUCAUUCCCAUGGGAAAUCUGCACAAGCCCAGGCUGAAUUACCUUUUGUAUGAAACUACUCUGUCCUGUGGAACUCUUUCACGGGGCAGGAUCUCUGGGACAGCCACCUGUGUUUUCCCAGCAGCUGAAAGGAUGCAGGUGCUUAUGGAGAACCUGGGGAAGAUGUGAUUGUAUUCCUUUUAUUUCUCCCCAUUUUCACCUUAUUAAAAGGAGAAACUAUGCAUCUGAAAAGAAAAACAUGAAGAGGAGACCCCAGUGCCUUUACUUUGGAGUGCUGAGAGAUGGAGAAUGAAAAAGCCAUUGGUCUCAGUUUUACUACCACAAUGGCCUUUUAUGAGAGGGAUUAGAUACGCCUAGAACUGGUGCAGCAUUCAUCGCUGCCCUGGACAACAAUCUGGAAAAAAAGACAAUAAAAAUCAGUUUGUUGUAAGGUUAAAUCACCGCAGACUUGCUAGAUUGGCUUUUCAGAUAGUUUUUUGUUUGAGAAAGGAGAAAAAAAAGCAAAAUAUGUCUUAAAAGCUGAUUUCUCUCUCUCUCUCUCUUCCCCCCUUCAAGAUGUAGCAUUCAGAAAACAUGUUGAGCAAGUUGAGGCAUUAAAAAGAUCAGUCUUUGGCUGUUGAAUGAAAGACUAUUGUGCGUGUGACUCACAUACUAAAUGAAAAUCUGCCUUCAAAGCCUAUUUUACUGCCUAAUUAUAUAUACACAAAAUGUAGCUGUCUGUUUCAAUCAAAUCAUAGGAAAAGGAAUAAAACUCCUCUUAACAUGCAAUUUUCAUGGUUUGUCAUAACCUUAGAACACACACUGCUAAUGCAAAAGGAGGAAGUACAGCUGCAAGGUCCAGAUAAGGCUCAAGUAAUUGUUUUUCUUUUAAUUAUUACUUUAUAAAUACAUUAUACCUCCUACUCAGAAUAACGAAAAUUAGUGUCCUCUGUUUUUUUUAAAGAUUUUUCCUUUUUCAGAGAUAGCUCAUUGAUAUGCAUUUCAGGAGCAGCCAGCAGCCAUAAAAACUAAUUUUAAGUAACCUAUGUAAUAAAAAAAGCCUUCAGGAGGACUUUAGGGAUUCAAGCAUCCCAAAAUCUAUGUAUUGAAUGGAAUGUUCCUAUCCAUGACACCAAAUAUAAAGGGGAAAUGUUCUGCAAAUAUACAAUAAUAGUUUGCAAUCAUCUUUCUUGGAAAAUUUCAAGCUGUAGAACAUGUGCAAACCUUUUCUUUAAAUAGUGACAAAAACAUGUUAAAUUUCCUUAAAUUAUUUCAAUUCUUCUCAUUCGUGUUUGAAAGGGAUGUGGUUAAGUAUAUUAAAAAAGCUAAUUAUUUUUUUCAUCCUCUAAUAUACACGUCUUUUUUAGAAUAACCUAAACUGUAACAUUUAAUAGGCCAUUACUAAUUUACAUCCUCUCACAGAUACAAAUCAUUAAAAUGAAAUGAUGUUUUAAUGGCUUACUCAAUAUAUAUCUAAUUGCAGCUUAAAAGUUUCCAACUUCGAAUAUGGCAUGGCACUUGAUGUCUCAUGAAGAGACUCUAAGGUUCUUAUACUGAACUUGUUAUUGACUUCAGAGGAGUACUCCUGAAAAUAAGCAGUGGAAAAUAAUCAGGCCUUAAGUGUUCCAUUCACAAACAAAUAAGUUUUUACUCUUGGCACCUGGCACUGGCAUUAUACACUGAAAAAGAUGCUUAAAUUGAAAACUGGGUGGUGUCCAUUAAUGACGGAAUUAAAUAAUGGGCCUAACAUGUUCUAAUGUGUAAUAUACUUGCAUUCAUCCAGAAAAACCUUUUUUGGCAUCCUCUCCCACCAUCCAAUGAAAAUGUAGCAGCUUGGGCUACAACAUGGAGACUGGGGAACAUUUGGUAUUUUAAAAUGACUUACACAUUCUCUCUCUUUUUUAAUUGGGUGUGCCCUCUUUCUGGACUCUCUUCUUCUUUCAGGUAUUUUUUUUUUUUUUUUUGGUCAGAAAUAGUAGCAUUGCCAACUCUGGCUUGGUAGGGCAGAGCUCAGAAGAUGUACAUUGUUAGAUUUCACCUCUGAAUUGAAGAGGUGAGGUGUGGAAUUUUUAAACAAGCAGUCCCUCUCCCAGAACAUUAAUUAGUUAUUUAAAUUAAAUAGGUGUUAACAAAAGAGCAAAAUUUCAAACCAUUUGAUUAGAAAUUCCUUCCUUUCCCAGUUGCUCAACUUUCACUGUCUUGUGACAUCAUCAUUUUGCUCUCUCUCCACUUGCCAUUCUCCCAUCCCAGACAAAAACUGGAACAAACAGAAUCUGAACUUCAAAGUAAAAAUAAAGCAGAUUUUUUAAAUUUUAUGAAUUUAUUUAUUGUUAAAAUAAAAAUAAAAUAAAAUUGGCCCUCCUUAUUGUAGUCAGACAUUAGCACCAUUGUAGUUAAGAUAUCCCUGAUAUCACCCAGGGAUUUAUCUCAGCUAGUGUCCAGUGCCCAUUAGGUCUUUGGGGAAAGAAUACUUUAAAAGUUUUUCAAGAUUAAAAAAAAAGUUGGAUCUACAUUAUGACUCAAGCCCAUUUGUCAAGCCAGAGAAAGUCAUUGGCAUAUGUACAGCAAGAUUGGAGCUGUCACAAGCCAGUAUUUGGUGAUAUCUCAGAGUAAGUGGGUAGUAGCUCAAGGAUACAGGCUGUGGCUACUAAACCCAAACAGCUCCUAGGUACUGUAAGUUUGAGUCAUGCCUUGGGAAAUUUUCUGAGAAUGUGUGUUGUGCACAUUAGUUGCAUUCUGCAGGGGCUUCUUUGGAAGUUUUGCCCUGAGAGCAGAGUUUAAUAUUUCAGAGUACUCUAAAAUUUGCAUGCAUACUCUGAUUUUACUGUAGGGUAUUAUCAAGGAAAACAGCAUUAAUGAACUAGAGGGAAGAUGAAAGACUCCAAUAAGUAGCAGCGCUAAGGUAAUGUAAGCAUGCUGCAUGCUUUUCACCUAUUUCCUGAAUAGUGGUACUGAGCGUGAUCAAAGAAAGCAGGUAGCUUCCACUUUCAUCAAUGUGAUCAAAGGGGUUACUGAAUAGAGCUGGGCAGAAAGAUUACAAUUACAAACAGUUUUUUUGUUUGAACUUUCUAAUUAGUCAAAGUUAAGAUGUACUGCACAGAAAGCUUGAUUUUUGUCAAAGUUCCUCCAGAAACCAGGCAAGAUUCCAACAGAAACCUGCAUUGUUCCCUGCCAACUCUACUACUGGCUCCUCAGAAGCCCAUGGUUUGAGGAUAUACAGCACCCCACCAUGUGGAUUAUUUUGGGACUGGGGAACCCAGGGCUUUCAGGGUCUAUGACUCUGGGAUAGCCCACCAGAUGGACUGCCUCAGAGUCAUGGACCCCUUGACUUCCAGGGUCUGCAGCUCCAGGACAGCCCCUCCCAUAAAACUGCCCUAAAGCCAGAGAUCAAUCCCCUUUCUCAGGGAAUUUCAAAUGGGUGGCCUGUGGUAGAUAUUGACUAAUGCAGUACCACGAUACUGUCACCAAUCAAAACAAUACCUUAUGUUAUCAUGAAAAAUAAACAAAGAAAACAAAUUUCACUUUUCUACAAUAAUUCAUCCAAUCCAAUUUACCAAACCCAGUGUUCAUACCUAUCAAUUGUAUCCGUCAAAGUGCUGUAGUUCCUUGAAAAAAGGGGUGUGAAGGAGAGGUCAAACACUGUACACUGGAAAAAAUGUCAGUCACAUGGCACCUUUUUAAAAACAGACAGCAACCUCAAAUGAUAUUUUCCUCUACAAACUUCUACAGAAAAAUCAAACAGUGGACAAAAUACAAUACACGUUUAAAAGUGAUAUCAUAAUCCAAAAGAGUUUUUGUAGAUCUUUUUCAACCCCAUUAAAAUGGAAAUCUUGGUGUAACCUUAACUGUGGUGGCACUGCUACCAUAAUAUUACUAUGCCACAUUAGGCCAGGGAUAGUGUUAGUGGUUCAAGUUGAGGUAGUCAAGUUGAGGCAAGAUAUAAGUCUCAUUAUAUUUCAUGUUUUUUAGAGACUUAAAUGCAGGUUCACUUGAAGGGUAUGAGCCAUUGCCAGUCAACUUUAACUCUAUGUUAAUUAACUUUUGGGGUAAUGAAUGAAGGGGGAGGAGGCCCAUAGCUAUUUUCCCUCCCUUUGAAGCUCAUCUUUAAGCUUUCUCGAAAUAUCAUCAAAACAUAGUUUACUGCAGACCAUUGUGCCAGCCAUAGUGACCACACUUGAUGGCAUCAGACCAGGCAAGUAGUGAAGUUCCCAGAUCGGGAAUCCUGUGAAUCCACUAAUCUCUGGGGCAGCCUUGUGGGCAGUGCCUACUGGGUCAAGGCAUGCACCCCUUCACACAUCAAUGGAGAGUUUGAGAGCCCAGUCUGCUGGGGUGUUUUUGUGCAUCCCACUGUCAGAGGACAAGGAGCUCCCUGAUAUCUAGCAGUGAGUUUCAGAUGACCAAACCAGUUCAGUGUAUCUCAACUCACUAAUGUCAUAACCUAUAUCCCAUAGGUGUCAUGUAAGGAAUCAUCAUAAAAACUAACACACUGAUCUUUAUUCUUAUAUAUACAGUAAUUACCCAAAGGACUGUACAGUUGCACUGGAAAUGUGGGACUAAAAUGGUCCACACCAAACAAGUCUGGGUAGUUGAUAAACAAAUUUUAUUCAGAGGAAAGGAAAGGCCGAUGCCUCCAUCAAGGUGCAAUUACAAUCAAUUCAUUAUUCAUUUGUAUACCAGAGAUUGCAGGAACAGAUCAAUUGCAUUGUAGCAAUCACCAGCAAGGGGGGGGGGCAGGGGAUGAAUCAGCAUGGAGCCUUAUCCUUCGGACCUCAUGCUACUGUACUCAGUAUGAACUAAUGAACUUUAGCUGGAGGUACUCUUCAGACGAAUACAUUUCAAAGGUUCACUGGACUAUAAAAGAGAGGGGCAAAGAACCCCUGGGGUUCUCCUUCACCUUAGGAGGCAAAGAAGCAAGUGAUUAUGAUCUCUGUGAUAGAUCCUGGCCAAUAAAAGCUGGAAAGGACUCUCUGGGUAAAAGAAGCCAUCUAGAAAAAAAGACUAUCUUGCUAGAUUAAGUUUUAGUGUUUUAGAUGAGUGUUUUCACUUUCAUGUUUUGAAACCAUUUCUACCUUUAUUUCUUUUAGUUGGUGUUAACUUAUGGCUUUUUGUUAAUAAACUUUUUACUAUAUACCAACUCAGUACUGUAUUUAAAGGGACGGGUAUGUAUAUCCCAAUUACGUUAAUAAACUGUAAUGUACUGACUCUUUAAAAGAGCAGUUAACUUAAUGUCAUGUGUGAAUGCGCACUGGUAGGGGCUGUGCAUUGAAGAGAAACAUCUCUGAGGAGUUCGGGGGCCUGGAGUUCACUGAUUCUUACCUGCUAGGCGAGGUUCAGGCCAGGAGAGCCUUGAGAAGUUUGUUGGUGAGGAAGAGAGACUGGUGUGGCAAGAAGCUGACACAAUUUAAUCUAGCUAAGGCAGAGAAAUAACACAGUGGUUUGUAGCUCUGGGUGCUUCCAGCAGUGUAUUACAGCUACUUUUGAAUGUAAUAAGCAAUUGAAAGAAGAACAGGUCCCUGCAAGAUUGAUAUUUUGCAUAAAGUCAAACCACUUCAUGCUCAGGAUUUAGUGCUGACAGUUCAUAUGGAAUGCUUCUAGUCAUUCCAAGUCUGCCUGCAAGAGGGUCCAGGUUUCUGACCCAUAUAGCAAUACAAGUAGCACACAGGUUUGAUAGAUCCUGAACUUUGUCUCAGUGCAAAGACUUUUUUGCAUUCAUAACCGAGACAUGGACUUCAUGUAGGAGGCAGCAAGACCUGUUUGUUUGCUGCCACCAUUCAGAUAAUGCUUUCAGCAUAGGAGAUGAACUUGUCAAUUCUCUCUCUGGUUCUCUACCAUACCUGCACCAAGGGUUCUGGUGGCCCAACUCUGAGAUUCUGAACCGUGGUCUGCUGUCAUGUGAUGUUCCACUCAAUAGUGCAGGCAGUAUCUUGGAGACCUUGGAGAGUGGGGCUGAAAUUCUCCACAAGCAAGACAGUGUCAUCAGCGUAGUCUUGGUCAGCGAAGACUUCUUGACCAACCUCGAUUCAGACAUGUGGAAGGACAAGUCCUAAUACCCAGUCGAUAGCUGAACAGAAUAGUGCCAGGGCAAGAAUGCAUCCCUGCGCACACUUGAGGCUGUGUAGAAAUAUGGCAAGAGCCCAUGGCAAGAGCCCAAGCUUUCCUCAAAUAGAGUGCUGGAAAAACAUGAUGUUCUUUUUUUAAUAUCUGGGAUAUUUAGCUAUUAGGGUUAGAGUUAGUGUGGUUUCUUUUUGCAUCAUGGUUUUCAUAUAAAAGUACUUAGUAAUAAAACAUGAGAAAAGAGAAUACAAUGUACUAUGCAUACAGAUUUGUUCUAACAUUCAAUUACUGGAGUAAGUGUGAAAGGUUCUAAACUGGCAGCUCAGGAGAUGAAAUGUCUUUAGUACUUUAUAUUUCUUUUGCUCUUUCCAUGAAGAGCUCAAAAGACUUCGCAAAUAAUUAGUCAAUCCUCAGAAUAUCCCUGUGAAGUAUGAUGCAGCCCCUAGAUGCCACAGACACAGGUACCUUUGAUAUAAACAUGGAGAUGAUAAUACCUAGCCAUUGUUCAGCAGGGCAAGCUAAGGCAACUUGCUGUUAAGUCCACACAGGAAGUCUGGCAGAGCCAUGAUUGAUCUUUGGACUCUGCCACUUUAUAGCAAAACAAGGAAAAGUAGAAGAAAAAUAAAAUUUUGUGUAUUGUAUGCCUCUAGCUGAA
Molecule: non-coding RNA, 7888 nt
Organism: Chrysemys picta bellii (western painted turtle)
Lineage: Eukaryota; Metazoa; Chordata; Testudines; Emydidae
Source: RefSeq, a predicted model, not a curated record